UACGUAGGGGGCAAGCGUUGUCCGGAUUUAUUGGGCGUAAAGCGCGUGUAGGUGGCCAAGUAGGUCCGCUGUGAAAACUUGAGGCUCAACCUCAAGCUGUCGGUGGAAACCACUUGGCUAGAGUCCGGAAGAGGAGAGUGGAAUUCCUGGUGUGGCGGUGAAAUGCGCAGAUAUCAGGAAGAACACCAAUGGCGAAGGCAGCUCUCUGGGACGGUACUGACACUGAGACGCGAAAGCGUGGGGAGCGAACAGG
Molecule: ribosomal RNA, 253 nt
Filed under: uncultured bacterium
Lineage: Bacteria
Description: partial 16S ribosomal RNA
Rfam family: Bacterial small subunit ribosomal RNA
Source: RNAcentral